AUUUGUCCGCUUCCCGACACCACCACGCCUUCCGCCAGUAAUGCCUGACGUUGCCGCUGUAGAUCCGGCCCGGUAAGUGAUAUUGCGCCGUGGCGGUUCACCACCCGAUGCCAUGGUAAAGUGCUGCUUUAAGGAUACGUUCGUUGGGUAGGGAGCGUUCUGUAAGCCUGUGAAGGUGGCCUGUGAGGGUUGCUGGAGGUAUCAGAAGUGCGAAUGCUGACAUAAGUAACGAUAAAGCGGGUGAAAAGCCCGCUCGCCGGAAGACCAAGGGUUCCUG
RNAcentral lists this ribosomal RNA (277 nucleotides) under Salmonella enterica subsp. enterica serovar Kentucky. RNAcentral describes it as "partial 23S ribosomal RNA". It matches the Rfam family "Bacterial large subunit ribosomal RNA", at positions 1062 to 1357 of the family's 2925-position model. Lineage: Bacteria; Pseudomonadati; Pseudomonadota; Gammaproteobacteria; Enterobacterales; Enterobacteriaceae. The record is from RNAcentral.